ACAAGGUGCCAUGCAAAAGCAAUCUUGCCUUCAGAAUGACUGAUGGUAUACUCAGGUUUUUCAUAGCAUAUCAUCAUUAAAAGUGAAUAAAAUA
This 94-nucleotide small nucleolar RNA is filed under the name Mandrillus leucophaeus (drill). RNAcentral's name for it is "Small nucleolar RNA SNORA15 (ENSMLEG00000028106.1)". It matches the Rfam family "Small nucleolar RNA SNORA15", at positions 42 to 137 of the family's 137-position model. Rfam says of the family: ACA15 is a member of the H/ACA class of snoRNA that guide the sites of modification of uridines to pseudouridines. The record is from RNAcentral. Lineage: Eukaryota; Metazoa; Chordata; Mammalia; Primates; Cercopithecidae.